GGUUGUGGCUCAGUGGCAGAGCGCUUGCCUAACAUGGGUGAGGCACUGGGUUUGAUUCUCAGCACCA
RNAcentral lists this transfer RNA (67 nucleotides) under Marmota monax (woodchuck). Its description in RNAcentral is "tRNA.Val". The record is from RNAcentral. Lineage: Eukaryota; Metazoa; Chordata; Mammalia; Rodentia; Sciuridae.